RNAcentral lists this ribosomal RNA (253 nucleotides) under uncultured bacterium. Its description in RNAcentral is "partial 16S ribosomal RNA". It matches the Rfam family "Bacterial small subunit ribosomal RNA", at positions 524 to 776 of the family's 1533-position model. The record is from RNAcentral.
UACGGGGGGGGUAAGCGUUGUUCGGAAUUACUGGGCGUAAAGGGCUCGUAGGCGGCCAACUAAGUCAGACGUGAAAUCCCUCAGCUUAACUGGGGAACUGCGUCUGAUACUGGAUGGCUUGGAUUCGGGAGAGGAAUGCGGAAUUCCAGGUGUAGCGGUGAAAUGCGUAGAUAUCUGGAGGAACACCGGUGGCGAAGGCGGCAUUCUGGACCGAUAUUGACGCUGAGGAGCGAAAGUCAGGGGAGCAAACGGG